AAAUCUCCAUUGUCUGGGGGAACAGAGACAUCCUGUUGGGGUCAGAAUCCUCAGAAGUUUUGCAGAACUUCACCUGAGCUCAGCACCCCAGGGAGUCCUGCC
Molecule: non-coding RNA, 102 nt
Organism: Turdus rufiventris (rufous-bellied thrush)
Lineage: Eukaryota; Metazoa; Chordata; Aves; Passeriformes; Turdidae
Source: the annotation of a GenBank genome assembly